GAUGAAGAACGUAGCGAAAUGCGAUAAGUAAUGUGAAUUGCAGAAUUCAGUGAAUCAUCGAAUCUUUGAACGCACCUUGCGCUCCUUGGUAUUCCGAGGAGCAUGCCUGUUUGAGUGUCAUUAAAUUCUCAACCUCACCAGUUUUGUAACGAGACAGGUGAAGGCUUGGAUGUGGGGGUUUUGCAGGCUGCCUCAGUGCUGGUCUGCUCUCCUGAAAUGCAUUAGCGAGCUCAUAUUGAGCUUCCGUCUAUUGGUGUGAUAAUUAUCUACGCCGUGGAUUGGACUCAUGCUUGCUUCUAACCGUCCGCAAGGACAAUUUACUUGACAAAUUUGACCUCAAAUCAGGUAGGACUACCCGCUGAACUUAAGCAUAUCAAUAAGCGGAGGA
Molecule: unclassified non-coding RNA, 388 nt
Filed under: soil metagenome
Description: partial contains 5.8S ribosomal RNA, internal transcribed spacer 2, and large subunit ribosomal RNA
Rfam family: 5.8S ribosomal RNA (bases 1-120)
Source: RNAcentral